Molecule: unclassified non-coding RNA, 182 nt
Filed under: rhizosphere metagenome
Description: partial ribosomal RNA internal transcribed spacer region
Source: RNAcentral
GAAUUUUAGGGCGUUUACAUUUAUGUAGAGCCUGACCUCCAUUUUCUAACUCUGUGCAUCUAUUUGGCGGUCAAGGGACUCGGAAGAGUUUCUUCACUGCGGCUUCAUUUUAAACUCUAGUCAAAGAAUGUAACGAAAUAUCGAAAUAAAAAAAAACUUUCAACAACGGAUCUCUUGGCUCU